GAUGAAGAACGCAGCGAAAUGCGAUACUUGGUGUGAAUUGCAGAAUCCCGUGAACCAUCGAGUCUUUGAACGCAAGUUGCGCCCGAAGCCAUCAGGUUGAGGGCACGUCUGCCUGGGCGUCACAUAUCGUUGGCCAAUGCCUAUUGCAGUGCAAUAGGAAUUUCUAGGGCGAAUGAUGGCUUCCCGUGAGCGUUGUUGCCUCGCGGUUGGUUGAAAAUCGAGUCCUUGGUAGGGUGUGCCAUGGUAGAUGGUGGUCGAGUUAGAACGAUAUCGAUCAUGUGCAUGCUCCCCAAAAUAUGGCCUCUAUGACCCACACGCGUCUUUUGACGCUCAUGACGAGACCUCAGGUCAGGCGGGGCUACCCGCUGAAUUUAAGCAUAUCAAUAAGCGGGGA
RNAcentral lists this unclassified non-coding RNA (394 nucleotides) under soil metagenome. RNAcentral describes it as "partial contains 5.8S ribosomal RNA, internal transcribed spacer 2, and large subunit ribosomal RNA". The stretch from base 1 to 122 matches the Rfam family "5.8S ribosomal RNA", at positions 35 to 154 of the family's 154-position model. The record is from RNAcentral.